AACUCCAUUUUCACUUGCAUAAUAAACCAGGAUCCUCAAAACAUGACUCUUUCUUUGGUGUGUACAAUCGAGCUGGUGCCGUCCCGUGAUCCUGAGAGAAACCUGGAAACACAUAACACAAAACACUGUAAGCACAAAGCUUAGUGAGUUCUCCAAAAUACCACACAUAACACAUAUUAGCCACUCGAGGCUAUAACUCUGUGGGUCCGUGGACCCUACUUUGUGAACCUUCCGGUUCUAACUCUGGGAACCUUCCGGUUCUAACUAUGUAAACAUGCACAUCAUAAAUCACAUAGAAAUAAUGCAGUACAACACAUAACAUACACAACAUACACAUACUCUGCCACAUAACUCUGGUUACCUACUCAAGGUAAAGUAUAGUGAGAAGACUCACCUGGCAAUUAGAAAACAAUUAUCGGCACAUGCAAACCUCGGACUCGCCACCGCCUAACACAUAAGGCAAAUAUCUCUAAUUAAUACUCGAAGUCCCAACUCUAAUUAACCAACGAUUAAUCUUUNNNNNNNNNNNNNNNNNNNNNNNNNNNNNNNNNNNNNNNNNNNNNNNNNNNNNNNNNNNNNNNNNNNNNNNNNNNNNNNNNNNNNNNNNNNNNNNNNNNNNNNNNNNNNNNNNNNNNNNNNNNNNNNNNNNNNNNNNNNNNNNNNNNNNNNNNNNNNNNNNNNNNNNNNNNNNNNNNNNNNUGCCUAUGGACUCGGCGAGUUGCUCCCAUGACAACCCUCAUCUGACCUUCUGAGGUCAGAUCUGCUUCACCAAACCAUAGAUCUAACUCCCUCAAAGCCAAUAACCACGAAAAGGUCGAACCUUGGGCACUCAUGCAAGGUUCUACAAGCUCAUUUGGGUGAAACCCUCCAUUACAUAACAACCCUAGCUCAAAACUCCAAAUAGAAUGCAUAAAGCAGGAUGGAAGGGACUCUCUGGACCUCUUUGGGUCCAGAUCUAUGGCUUCACACUCAAUGGGACACUAUACUCCACAAAUCAAGCCAUAAAAGAAGCUAGAAAACCCUAAAAUCACCAAUCUUACCCAAAACAGAAAAGGGAGAACGAUUUGAUACCUCUAUGGUGAAGAUGCAAGCUCAGAAGCUCUGAAUCGACACCCCCUUGACCUCCCUUUGCUGGAAAUGACUACUCCAUUGCACAACCACCUCAAGAAUGCUCCAAAAUGGCUCUUCUUUACUCUCUCAGCUCUCUGGUUCGAUAGGAGUCUCUCAAGGGUGUAGGUGGCCGCCACUGAAGGCCAUAAGGGCCUUUAAAUAGGUCCCAAACCCGGACAAUUAGGGUUUUCCUUGACAGCGCCGACUCGGCGAGUCCAAAUACCCGACUCGUCGAGUCCCUUCAUUAAACUGGUCCCCAAAACGCGGUCCUACUCGACGAGUUGAGGCGUCAACUCGCCGAGUCUCCUUAUUCCUUAAUAUAAAAUACUCAAAUUCCCAUACCUGGAUAUCCGGAUGUUACAAUUCUCCCCCACUAGAAUCAGACUUCGCCCUCGAAGUCUCACUCUGGAAACAACUCCGGAUGUUGCUCACGCAUGUCGCGCUCUGGUUCCCGAGUAAGUUCUGACCCCUUCCGGUGUUUCCACUGGACCUGCAUCAGAGACACCUCUUUUUUCCUCAGAACCUUGAUCUUUCGAUCCCGAAUAGCCACCGGUCUCUCAACGCAGUUCAGGCCCACAUCCACCUGAAUAUCCUCUAAUGGCACUACUGCCGACUCCUCGGCUAUACACUUUCGCAGCUGCGACACAUGGAAAGUGUCAUGGAUCUGACCUAGCUCUGCAGGUAGUUCCAACCGGUAGGCUACCCUACCUACCCUCGCGAUCACCCGAAAAGGACCGAUAUAUCGGGGCCCCAACUUGCCCCUCUUCCUGAAUCGGAUCACUCCUUUCUAAGGAGAGACCUUUAGGAGUACAAAGUCAUCGACCAAAAAUUCGAUCUAGGACCGGCGCCUGUCCGCAUAACUCUUCUGGCGACUCUGAGCGGUCAACAACCUCUGCCUGACCUGCUGUAUCUGCUCUGACGUCUGAAGCACGAUCUUUGUACUUCCCAUCACACGUUGCUCUACCUUUCCCCAGCAAAUGGGGUCCAAUACCCCCUUCCCUACAACAACUCAAAAGGGUGGCAUACUGAUGCACUAAUGAUGGCUGUUGUUGUAGGAAAACUCUGCCAAAGGCAAAUACGGGUCACAAUUUCCCCCGAAAUCUAAUACACCUGCCCGAAACAUAUCCUCGAGCGUCUGAAUCGCUCGCUCGUGCUGAAGUGUCCACAGACAUCACCAUGGUAAACUCUAGCUCAUUUCUUAUAUUCAUCUUCGAUGCCGGGCACCAGGUCAACUUUUGGCCCCACAGCUGAACCCCCAAAGGUCACACAUAACAUGAUCCAAAAUAUCUCACUAACUUCCUUGCCGUGACCACCAUCACGGCCCAGUGACACGCAAGUCACGAAAUUCCCUUUUCCUCAUAAAAAUACAAUCCAAUCGAAGAUCGACUCAGCUCUAACCUCUGGCGUCUGCUGUGCAUAUUCUCCCGCGCGCCUCGCUGAUCCUCCCGACAGAGACGAAGACCCCAGUCUCGCCCCCAGUUUAACCACUAGGCUCCAUAAACUCAACACUAGGGCUACUCAAGCCUAAAACUCUUCUGCAUCAUGCACUUAUCGGAGAACACUCCACCAUCACACUCUCAUGCCGUCUAGUGGGUACUAUGGCUUCCCGCAACAUUACGACAACCUCUGACUAGUGAGUACUACGGCUCCCCGUAGUAUCACAACGCCAACUAACUAGUGAGUACUACGGCUNCUCUCUCUCUCUCUCUGACUUGUGAGUACUACGGCUCCCCGUAGCAUCACAACACCCUCUGACUGGCGAAUACUACGGCUCCCCGUAGCAUCACGACUCUCUCCCUCUCUCUCUGACUUGUGAGUACUACGGCUCCCCGUAGCAUCAUCCUAUACUCUCAUUCUCAUUUCAACGCCACACUAUGAUCACUAACUCAUGCUCCGAAGACUAUCAUAGAUAGUUACACACACCUACCUCGAUAUGCAUAAUAGACUCUGGCGGCAACCGCCAUAACACAGAACCUACCUCUACGGAGAUCCACCUCCGUAAAUAAUCCCUCUUGAUGACAAUACACGGAUGGCUCCCACUGGAAUCGUGGAUACAUGAUACAUCACUAGUCAUCUUAAACCCAAGACUCUAAAUAACUCCGGAAUCGGGACGCUAUACGCGGAAACCACGGAACACCCUAACAGAGCAUCACAAUGUCCUGCCUCUACUACUGAUUCCCUUACUCCCAGCACCAUACACAUACAACAAUACAUUUCCUCUGAAUCCCAUAAUAAUUUCCUAUUUCACUCAAUGCGCAACUUCAGUGCAUCCAAACACUCAAUUGGAAUACAAGGAAGGCGCUAACUCUUCAGAACACACUGAUGAUCCUCUGAAACCCUUUCCACUACUGCUCAAAAUCCAAGCAAGAAUACACAUCCCAGCCCGGGAGUUGGCUACUCGACAAUCUUCUACCCAUAUUUCAACCCAGAAGUUCUCAACUGCCCAUACCAUCAUUACGAGUCUUCCACUUGAAACGACUCUGACCACCACCAGAUUCCUGACCAUUGACCACCCGCCGUGGAGACACCCAUCCUUCUCUCAGACAUAUACCACAUGCAUUAUCUCGCCCUGCACCUUUCCUUGAUCACCAAUGACCCUGAUCUCAUGAAUUCAAGCCGCAGGUUUCUGUAUCCAACCCCUAACCGCUCUUGCACAAAUCUCUGGUUCUCUCAAUAAACCACCCGGUUCUCCCCCACUUAGGGUUCGAACCAUCACUAUCUGACACAUCAACAACCUCAAAAACUAUUUUCACCAGCAAUAAUGCACCUGCCCCUGGAAAGUGCUACGCAACGCCCGAUAAUCCCCUUUAAGGAAAUCAAUCGAUCUCAUAACUCUGAACCUCAGAUGAAACCCUCAAGAACUUCUCGUCACGACUGCCUCUAGUCGUUUCCAGUUUCGUACCAAUCCAAUACCAAACAACUCAUCUGUCCAAACACAUCACUGACUCAUAGACUGGACCACGAAAUCAUCAUAGUCCCCCACCUCGACUCGUCAACUGGCGUUCCAACACAUGGAUCAUCUCUAGAACAGGGACCCACUCCCAUUUUCAAUACCCAAUAUAGAUAGAAAAACCACUACACGGAUUAACUCUACUGGACUCUCCACUGGUACCUCCACAAUACGCCCUACUAUACUCAUAUAAGUGUAAUGUGUUCCUCGGCUAUCUCAGUCUCAACUUACUAUCUGCUCCUGGUAAAUCACUGCCUCGCAGCACACAUGCUACCUGAUACUCUGAUGGAAAAUCAUCAUCAAUGACAACCUGCAGGGUUUACCCCGAACCCAAAACUUAAACAUCAUGCCUCUCAUGUUCUGCACACGAACAUAAAUAACACCACCCAGGUCAUAGAAGGUGACAUCUCCUCUAUCAACUGAUUGCUCAACUCAGACCGAAAUUCUCCCCUCCCUCCGACUCCUUACCAUAAUACUCUGAAAGGCUCUCGACCUCCCUCUCAAGGGACGCCUCUUCGAACUCAAUCCUGGCCCACUGGCCUAAAACCCAUAGCAUCCAAUCUCUACCUCGUCAAUCAUGACCAGAUAACCGGGGAACUACAAGCAUCAUUCACUACGAACCAUGGUACUCAUCCCAUGACAUCUCUUCUCAAUAUGCUCUGGUGUAUGGUACUCGAACCAUAACAUCACUCCUCAAUCUGCUCUGAUGUAUGGUACUCGAACCAUAACAUCACUCCUCCAUCUGCCCCGAUGUAUGGUACUCGAACCAUGACAUCACUCCUCAAUCCGCUCCGAUGUAUGGUACUCGAACUAUAACAUCGCUCCUCAAUCCGCUCCGAUGUAUGGUACUCGAACCAUAACAUCACUCCUCAAUCCGCUCCGAUGUAUGGUACUCGAACCAUAACAUCACUCCUCAAUCCGCUCCGAUGUAUGGUACUCGAACCAUAACAUCACUCCUCAAUCCGCUCCGAUGUAUGGUACUCGAACCAUAACAUCACUCCUCAAUCUGCUCCGAUGUAUGGUACUCGAACCAUAACAUCACUCCUCAAUCCGCUCAUUAGAACCUUCAGAAUACUCCCUGUAUCAAGUAUGGGUCCUCUGCUUUCAGUAGUACGGGCCCAUACUACCUGCCACAUCUACCCAUACUUUCCACACGGACUAUCCCGGAGCUCCUAAGUAGCUGCUCGACCUUCUCGUUCACCAAUUCCGUCGCGCGCUCGCUCCCCAGCGAAAUUCUCUACUCUGCCAGCGCACUCAUCUGGCUAAGGUUACUCCCUAGGCUCUUCCUAGAUUCCCACACUUCUCUGCCAUCAGCUGCUGAAGAGCUCCUAAUGAUGCCAGCCAUCUACCUCCUGAAUAUCGUCAUAUUCGCUUGGUAGCUGACUCCCAUCAUCGAGAGUUCCACAAAGCACGAAGCAAGCAGCAUUCGAGCAUCGAAGAAUAUAUAUGACUCACUCUGGGUGAUAACUCCGCUUGCUCUGCUCAUCCUCGAAAGUACCACCGAACUCUGCAACUCUUCCCCUCGCGGGUUCUAACUAUUCUUUCUCUAAGUACCACGGUACUUAUCUAGGUAUCUCCCCUAGAUUACUCCUCUACUCAAAUCCCCUAAAGGAUUCCAACUAAAUAUUCUCACUCAUCACAUACUCAAAAGCACAUCGCAUAUAACAGCAAUUCCUAGGCUAAGGCAUCACAAAUCAGGCCACUCUAGUCCUAAGAUAUGGAAUACCUAGCCUGUCUCUAGCAUGCAAUAAUAUCUCAUAAAGUGCAUCAUAAAUAUCUCAUAACACAAAAGUAAGGGUAUUUUGGGAAAUCACCGUUCGGGCUCUGGCUGAUUGUACACACUGCUCUUUCUCGCUUUCUCUUUGAACUCUUAUUCGCUUUAGAAAAUUAUUUCUUUGAAAACUUUUCUUACUUCCUCAGUUUGAGUCCAGAUUUACCCGAAGGCGCAUCCGAAUCCCUCAAACCAAGGCUCUGAUACCAACUUGUAACACCGAAAAUUUCAAAACAAUUUUUCAUUUAAAAAUAAUCGUUUAAUUCUUAAAAACACUUUGCUUAAAAUCUCAUUCAUAAUCGAAUUACAAAACAUAACUCCAUUUUCACUUGCAUAAUAAACCAGGAUCCUCAAAACAUGACUCUUUCUCUGGUGUGUACAAUCGAGCCGGUGUCGUCCCGUGAUCCUGAGAGAAACCUGAAACACAUAACACAAAACACUGUAAGCACGAAGCUUAGUGAGUUCCCCAAAAUACCACACAUAACACAUAUUAGCCACUCGAGGCUAUAACUCUGUGGGUCCGUGGACCCUACUCUGUGAACCUUCCGGUUCUAACUCUGGGAACCUUCCGGUUCUAAAUCUGUAAACAUGCACAACAUAAAUCAC
RNAcentral lists this long non-coding RNA (6437 nucleotides) under Lactuca sativa (garden lettuce). RNAcentral describes it as "long non-coding RNA (LSAT_LNC009734)". The record is from RNAcentral. Lineage: Eukaryota; Viridiplantae; Streptophyta; Magnoliopsida; Asterales; Asteraceae.